GCCAUUCUGCAGGCCUUUGGGGAUGCGUCUGGGCUCCGCGCAAGCAGUGAGAAGACCGUGGCGUACCCUAUAUCUUGCACUGGUUAUGACAUUGCAAGUCUGUUGGCUGUUUUCGGAGGGGUUCAAGGUUGUUUCCCAUGCCAAUAUUUGGGCCUCCCUCUCGGUCUGAGAAAGCCUCGAAGGGCAGAGGUGCAGCCGGUUCUUGACAAAGUCGCGGGCAAGUUGGCUCCUAGAAAGGGGAGGUUGCUGAACAGGAUGGGGCGGCUAGUGUAUAGCAAUUCGGUGGUUACUGCCACGGCCACCUUCUUCCUAACGAGUUUUCAGCCUGACAAGUGGUUCAUCAAAAAGAUGGACAAGAUAAGGAGGAAUUUCCUUUUGGGUACAGAUGAUGAUUGUGACGCCCGGAUAAUUAAGCUACAGUAA
RNAcentral lists this ribosomal RNA (423 nucleotides) under Triticum aestivum (bread wheat). RNAcentral describes it as "partial small subunit ribosomal RNA". The record is from RNAcentral. Lineage: Eukaryota; Viridiplantae; Streptophyta; Magnoliopsida; Poales; Poaceae.